Molecule: long non-coding RNA, 2575 nt
Organism: Epinephelus moara (kelp grouper)
Lineage: Eukaryota; Metazoa; Chordata; Actinopteri; Perciformes; Serranidae
Exons: 2
Source: RefSeq, a predicted model, not a curated record
GAAAGGGUUGAAGAAGGAGAGGGAGAAGGACGCAGGAUCAGAGGAGGCUGAGGCGGGGAGAGUGAAAGAUGGAGAAGUAGGACAAGUGCGGUCAGACGUCGACAGCGAUACAACUAAAAACUCAGCCCAGAACUGAGGGAGGAAGAAGGAGAGGCGAGGAUGUCUGCCGCACAUGCACUGACAUGAGGCAAGCUGGAGGUCAAACACCAAUAUGAUACUGAACUUCAGCAGAUGGAGGAAGUGAUAUUUGGAUGGAUUUGCAACAUUCCCUUUCUGGCAUCACCAACCAGCACAAGAGGCCAUCAACCUGACCAUCCAAGUGUUUGUGAGUGUGUGAACAUACCAACAACCAAGAGAAGGAUGGAGGUCCGGAGCUGAUUGUCCAAACGCAAUUCUUGCGUCUGCCUUUGUGAAACCAGGAGUUGUGGAUGGACAUCACGCCCCUGACCUCUGAAAAUCAGCGAGGGACAGACCACCAUGGACGGGAUAAAACUCAGUGGCUUUGUGGGUGGAUGAGCGGGAGACAGUGAAAGACAAACAGAGAGAGGGAGAAAGCGAGGGAGAUAUUGAAUAAGGGAGAGUGUGUGUUUAUGUAAAUGUAAAGCCUGUAAGAGCCUCUCUUGACAUUUUUGGAGGUCAGCUCAACUUUUUCUUCCAAGCAAGACCAGAAUUGUUACAAGUUGUAAAAUCUUUCUGUUCAAAGUUUUUACUCGUGACAGAACAACAGGUCAUCUCUGCUCUUCAGGUGUGUAAUGAAAGCAUAGGUUUCUUGUACAGAGCAGUUACAGGCUGAUGCAAAAUUAAUGUCAUUAUUGGUUUGUAAGGUAAUGGCACUGGACAGCGACAGCAGGUGAUGAGCAGUAAAGAGGAAGUCCAUUCAUUUAUUUGGCAAUUCACACAACUUAAAUUCGUCUAUGUCAAAUUCUUCCCUCACAUAUUUCAUGGCAAAUCUUCUUUUUUUUCCCAAAAUGUAAAAGAUAUUGAAAUCUUUCACUCUGAUGUGAAAAAGCUUAGGUUCAGCAGGUUUUAACAGGCUUAUGGUUGACUUGAUGCUCUCAGGAAGAGAAAGGAACGAAUAGCCCAGCUGUCAAUGCCAUUUAUUUUCUACUUUUUAUUCUAAUUUUCCUGCUCAGGUGCAAAGCCUGACACAAAUACAGGCCCGGCUCUGCAGAUCAGGGGCGUCCCAUUUUGAAAAGGGGGUUAGAGUGUGUUGGCGGAGCAGAAAGGGCUGCUCUCACCAUGUUAAGUACAGUUGAAUGUGUCCGGUUCGCACUUCAGCGCCGGUGUCUAGAGAGGGCCUUGCUAAAUUUGCAGUGGAAGGGGUGAGAGUGACAGAAAGGGAGAGUGAAUGGGGGGAGGGAGGUGUGUGUGUGUGUAUGUGUGCAUCUGUGUGUGUGUACUCACCCUCUCUGUGUUUGCCCCUGUGAAUUUGCCUCUGUGUGUUUUUUCCUGUGUUUGACAAAGUUCAGGGGGCCAGACUUGGAGAGAGAAAAGGGAAAAUGAGAGAAAGUAAAGGGUUUGAAUGAGGCGGUGAGAGAGACAGAGGGAGAGAGAGAGACGGUGAGCAGGCAAAAAAGAAAAAGAAGGCAAAGAUCCGACAGAGAGUGAGAGGGGAGGACAGAGAAGAGCACAAGAGGACAUUUUUGGAGGGAAAAAGAAGACCAGGCACCUUGAAAUUUGUGUGGCGAAAUACUCCGCUGCUUCACAGCACGAGUGGCGUAAAUUGGCGAUAUUUAUAGAUUGAAGCUGCAGGAAGCGACAACUCAUUCUGGGAAAUAUGUAUAGAGAAAGAGAAAGAGCAAGGGAGGGAGAGAGUGGGAGAAGGAGGGUGGGAGGGAGAUCAAGAGCGAGGCUGCAUUAAUAUGCUAAUGGCCUGAGUGAAUGCACAACAGGCCCACUGACCAGGCUAAUCACUGGUGGACACACACUGAGGCUAAUCCCUCACACAGCACUCACACACACAUGCAGUCAGACAUGCACAUACAGUGCAGGUUCAAAUAUUUGGACAGUGACAUAUUUUUUUUGUUGCUCUGUAUUUCAGCUCAUUGGAUUUGAAAUGAAACACUGAGUAUGAGCUUAAAGGGCUGACUUUAAGGUUUCAUUUCUUAAUGUUUGUUUCCAUUUUGGGUGAUUAUUAGCAGUGUGGGAAUCAUGUUUCUUCUUAUAUGUAGCCCCUUAAUUUUAUUACAAUUUAGCAGGAUAAUGAUCCCAAACAUACCAACCAGAUAUUUUCUAGGGUCGAACAUUAGAAUGUGACUACACUCAAACUGAGCAUGUGUUUUACUUGCUGAGUACCAGAUCCAAUACAAAAAAAACAUUUGAAAAUGACUGUGUCUGCUGAUGUCUGUGGGUUGCAGACUUCAGACAGAAACUGACUGCAAAUGAUUUGCAACUGCAAUACUCAUAGUAUAAUUAACUCAGUUUAAGUUAAUGUAACAUUUUCAGUUAUUUUAAUUAUAAAGUUUAAGGGGAAAGGCAAAAACAUGUAGUUUGACAUGGAUGCAUAAUAUGUCAUGAUUGAUCUUUAAAUCCAGUGUGCAGGAGAACAGAGCCAAAAAAAAAAAAAAAUCAAAAA